AGCGGCGGACGGGUGAGUAACACGUGGGUAACCUGCCCAAGAGACUGGGAUAACACCUGGAAACAGAUGCUAAUACCGGAUAACAACACUAGACGCAUGUCUAGAGCUUGAAAGAUGGUUCUGCUAUCACUCUUGGAUGGACCUGCGGUGCAUUAGCUAGUUGGUAAGGUAACGGCUUACCAAGGCAAUGAUGCAUAGCCGAGUUGAGAGACUGAUCGGCCACAUUGGGACUGAGACACGGCCCAAACUCCUACGGGAGGCAGCAGUAGGGAAUCUUCCACAAUGGACGAAAGUCUGAUGGAGCAACGCCGCGUGAGUGAAGAAGGGUUUCGGCUCGUAAAGCUCUGUUGGUAGUGAAGAAAGAUAGAGGUAGUAACUGGCCUUUAUUUGUCGGUAAUUACUUAGAAAGUCACGGCUAACUACGUGCCAGCAGCCGCGGUAAUACGUAGGUGGCAAGCGUUGUCCGGAUUUAUUGGGCGUAAAGCGAGUGCAGGCGGUUCAAUAAGUCUGAUGUGAAAGCCUUCGGCUCAACCGGAGAAUUGCAUCAGAAACUGUUGAACUUGAGUGCAGAAGAGGAGAGUGGAACUCCAUGUGUAGCGGUGGAAUGCGUAGAUAUAUGGAAGAACACCAGUGGCGAAGGCGGCUCUCUGGUCUGCAACUGACGCUGAGGCUCGAAAGCAUGGGUAGCGAACAGGAUUAGAUACCCUGGUAGUCCAUGCCGUAAACGAUGAGUGCUAAGUGU
Molecule: ribosomal RNA, 742 nt
Filed under: uncultured bacterium
Lineage: Bacteria
Description: bacterial SSU rRNA
Rfam family: Bacterial small subunit ribosomal RNA
Source: RNAcentral